Molecule: transfer RNA, 73 nt
Filed under: Dipodomys ordii (Ord's kangaroo rat)
Lineage: Eukaryota; Metazoa; Chordata; Mammalia; Rodentia; Heteromyidae
Rfam family: tRNA
About the family: Transfer RNA (tRNA) molecules are approximately 80 nucleotides in length. Their secondary structure includes four short double-helical elements and three loops (D, anti-codon, and T loops).
Source: Rfam by way of RNAcentral
UGUGGGGUAGCUCAAGUGGUAGAGUGCUUGCCUAGCAGGCAUAAGGCUUUAGGUUCAAUCCCCAACACCACAA